Molecule: transfer RNA, 72 nt
Filed under: Bos taurus (domestic cattle)
Lineage: Eukaryota; Metazoa; Chordata; Mammalia; Artiodactyla; Bovidae
Also listed under: 3 other names
Rfam family: tRNA
About the family: Transfer RNA (tRNA) molecules are approximately 80 nucleotides in length. Their secondary structure includes four short double-helical elements and three loops (D, anti-codon, and T loops).
Source: Rfam by way of RNAcentral
UCCCUGGUGGCUCAGAUGGUAAAGCGUCUGCCUGCAAUGCAGGGGACCCGGGUUCGAUUCCUGGGUCGGGAA